UACGUAGGGUGCGAGCGUUGUCCGGAAUUACUGGGCGUAAAGAGCUCGUAGGUGGUUUGUCGCGUUGUCCGUGAAAACUCACAACUCAAUUGUGGGCGUGCGGGCGAUACGGGCAGACUGGAGUACUGCAGGGGAGACUGGAAUUCCUGGUGUAGCGGUGGAAUGCGCAGAUAUCAGGAGGAACACCGGUGGCGAAGGCGGCAUCCUGGACCGAGAUUGACGCUGAUGCGCGAAAGCCAGGGGAGCAAACGGG
This 253-nucleotide ribosomal RNA is filed under the name uncultured bacterium. RNAcentral describes it as "partial 16S ribosomal RNA". It matches the Rfam family "Bacterial small subunit ribosomal RNA", at positions 524 to 776 of the family's 1533-position model. The record is from RNAcentral.